ACGUAGGUGGCAAGCGUUACUCGGAAUCACUAGGCGUAAAGCGCAGGUAGGCGGUUCGGUAAGUCUCUUGUGAAAGCUCCCGGCUCAACUGGGAGAGGUCAAGGGAAACUGCCGGGCUAGAGUGUGGCAGAGGAAGCUGGAGUUCCCGGUGUAGCGGUGAAAUGCGUAGAUAUCUGGAGGAACACCGGUGGCGAAGGCGGCAUUCUGGACUGCAACUGACACUGAAAGACGAAAGCCAGGGGAGCAAACGGGA
Molecule: ribosomal RNA, 253 nt
Filed under: uncultured prokaryote
Description: partial 16S ribosomal RNA
Rfam family: Bacterial small subunit ribosomal RNA
Source: RNAcentral